RNAcentral lists this transfer RNA (65 nucleotides) under Massicus raddei. Its description in RNAcentral is "tRNA-Phe". Lineage: Eukaryota; Metazoa; Arthropoda; Insecta; Coleoptera; Cerambycidae. The record is from RNAcentral.
ACUUAAAUAGCUUAUCUUAGAGCGUGAUAUUGAAGAUAUCAAGGUGACAGUUAUAUCUUUAAGUA